UGGAAAUAGUUUCUCCUAGGAUGGAAUAGGGGAACCCAAAUUUGUGACUAAGCUCUGGAGGAGGCCUGGAAAGAAAACUUGUCCAGGAUGGAAUAUUUUGUUGUUGUUCUCAGAUUCCAGGAAGGUAAGAUAAAACUAAAAGAACCAUUAGAAUUACCCAAAAACAAAGAAUUUGGAGUUAAUAUGGAGAGCACAGAGAUGUUGAAGUGAGUGAAUCAGGGACCCUGGGAUCAGGAAGCAGCCAAUCUCUAUUCCUACCUGAGGGAUCUGGCAUAGGACAUGAUGUGGAAUAAAUGGGAUACUUGAGUGCCCUUACCAUAUGUAUGCUUCAGAAAACAAAAACAAAUAGAUAUUUUAAUUAAUUAAAAUAAUAUUAAGGACAUCCUAGUGAAUAGCACUAGGUCUUUCAAUUAGUGUACUUUCAAUACCUAGCACUGUGAUGAGCACAUGGAAAGCUACUGAUAUAUUUUUUGAAUGGAUAAGCAGAUUAUGGAUGGAACUCAAGCCAAAAGACCUGUUAUUUAACAGGUCUUACAAUAAGUGACCUUAACCCUUUGUGCCACUCACAUCUCCAUUAUCAUCCCACAACUGUUGUUCCCACUAUGUUUUUACUCAUAAAACUUAGACUUACUACAUAUUUACACUUCUGCCUCAUCUGUCAGACCAAGCUUCCUGAUGGCUUACUUCCCAGGGACCCAUGUCUUAUUUGUUUCCACGUCUUCAGUUCUUAUACUAGGGCCUAGUACAGAAUAAGUGCUGAGCAAAUAUCUGCUUUUAGUGGCUGGAGGAAUGAUCAGAAAGUAACUUACUGAAGGACUUAGGUUUUUGUUAUUGAUUCAGUUCAGUGUAAUCAAAGGUGCCAUUUCUGGAUCCCCACAAUGUACCAGAUGCUUCCACUGUAUAUUUGGAGUAACUUAUAUGGAUGAGGAAAAUUACCUGGAAGAAUCAUCACAGAAGAAAAGGAGACCUCUGGCAGGCCAUGCUGCUAUUUAGAAGACAGUACAGACUCAGAAACCAUUUCUCAUUUCCAUAAAACAUGUAUGGCUGGAGUUGCUCAUUCCUUCAGAAGAAAUACUGGCUUCCCAUAUUGCCACAGCCAGAUAGACAGAUAGCCAGAUAGACCAUGAUGAAAUGUGAAACAACUUAAAAACUGAGGGGAAUCUUUCAAGUCCCAUAUUUUUACUCUGCUGUUUUUUAAGAUUACACCAAAGACAUUGGCCUGAAUUUAAUUUUGCAAUUGAGGACUUAUUUGAAAGAUUCUCUUUUCUAUUUUACCUUCUACCCAAAUUUAUGCAGAUCAGUUCUGUCAAAGUAAUCACUUUCAGUGGGGGCAGUUUACUAAAGAGGAAAAUAGUGAAAUCACACUCAGGAAUCCUAGGUUCUGCUGGUGGCUCCACAUUAGAUAUGUGACCUUGGACAUAGCCCUUUACUGUUAACAUCAGAGUGUUUUUAUUUGUAAAUUAAACAGUUUAGGUCAAAUAA
This is a long non-coding RNA of Marmota monax (woodchuck), 1482 nucleotides long. RefSeq lists it as uncharacterized. The record is from RefSeq and is a predicted model, not a curated record. NCBI's taxonomy places the organism in Eukaryota, Metazoa, Chordata, Mammalia, Rodentia, Sciuridae. The transcript is spliced from 2 exons.